UGAAAGCUAACUACAGAGUUGACCAUGGGAGUGUAUCCACCAUUUCUUCUCAGUGUGUUUGGCAAAGUAAAAAUCUUCAGGUCAAACCGAUGAUGAACACCCCAGGCAAAGGAAGUUAUUUACACAAAAAGGCAAAAUCCAUGAGUAUUAAAGCUGUUGAAAAUUACUAUGUAUAGUACUGGGGUAGGCUGUGAAAAACUCAACGUCUUGAUGUAGCUACAGGUAUGAGUAAAGCAGCAGAUAAAUGUUGACAGCAUUUUGUCUUCGUACACGUUGGGCUCACCGCAAGCAUUGAGUGCAAAUUGCAGAAUAAAUUCACAUGCUGAAUACUGGAGAAGAACUGC
Molecule: long non-coding RNA, 344 nt
Filed under: Calidris pygmaea (Spoon-billed sandpiper)
Lineage: Eukaryota; Metazoa; Chordata; Aves; Charadriiformes; Scolopacidae
Description: lncRNA (ENSCPGG00000011190.1)
Source: RNAcentral